This 75-nucleotide transfer RNA is filed under the name Bacillota bacterium. RNAcentral's name for it is "tRNA-Thr". It matches the Rfam family "tRNA". From Rfam's summary of the family: Transfer RNA (tRNA) molecules are approximately 80 nucleotides in length. Their secondary structure includes four short double-helical elements and three loops (D, anti-codon, and T loops). The record is from RNAcentral. Lineage: Bacteria; Bacillati; Bacillota.
GCCCGUUUAGCUCAGAGGUAGAGCAAUCGCCUUGUAAGCGAUAGGUCGUGGGUUCAAAUCCCACAACGGGCUCCA